AGUGAACGCUGGCGGUAGGCCUAACACAUGCAAGUCGAACGGCAGCACAGUAAGAGCUUGCUCUUACGGGUGGCGAGUGGCGGACGGGUGAGGAAUACAUCGGAAUCUACUUUUUCGUGGGGGAUAACGUAGGGAAACUUACGCUAAUACCGCAUACGACCUACGGGGGAAAGCAGGGGAUCUUCGGACCUUGCGCGAUUGAAUGAGCCGAUGGCGGAUUAGCUAGUUGGCGGGGUAAAGGCCCACCAAGGCGACGAUCCGUAGCUGGUCUGAGAGGAUGAUCAGGCACACUGGAACUGAGCCGCGGUCCAGACUCCUACGGGCGGCAGCAGUGGGGAAUAUUGGACAAUGGGCGCAAGCCUGAUCCAGCCAUACCGCGUGGGUGAAGAAGGCCUUCGGGUUGUAAAGCCCUUUUGUUGGGAAAGAAAAGCAGCAGGUUAAUACCCCGCUGUUCUGACGGUACCCAAAGAAUAAGCACCGGCUAACUUCGUG
Molecule: ribosomal RNA, 492 nt
Filed under: uncultured bacterium
Lineage: Bacteria
Description: partial 16S ribosomal RNA
Rfam family: Bacterial small subunit ribosomal RNA
Source: RNAcentral